Sinocyclocheilus grahami is the source of this 205-nucleotide long non-coding RNA. RefSeq lists it as uncharacterized. The transcript has 4 exons. Lineage: Eukaryota; Metazoa; Chordata; Actinopteri; Cypriniformes; Cyprinidae. The record is from RefSeq and is a predicted model, not a curated record.
UUGCACUUUAGGAAUAUUGAACACAUUUAUGAGUUCAACAGUGAGUUAUUACAGUCUUUAGACAUGUGUGCCAGUGAUCCUGUGGCCAUCGCGCGCUGCUUUGUGGACAAGAGCGAGUAUUUUGAGAUCUACACGCAGUACUGUACAAACUACCCAAAUUCAGUGGCAGUGUUGACUGACUGUCUGAGGAAUAAAACUCUGGCCA